This 466-nucleotide ribosomal RNA is filed under the name uncultured bacterium. RNAcentral's name for it is "bacterial SSU rRNA". It matches the Rfam family "Bacterial small subunit ribosomal RNA", at positions 1 to 458 of the family's 1533-position model. The record is from RNAcentral.
CCCUUAGAGUUUGAUCCUGGCUCAGGAUGAACGCUAGCGACAGGCUUAACACAUGCAAGUCGAGGGGCAGCAUGAUUUGUAGCAAUACAGAUUGAUGGCGACCGGCGCACGGGUGAGUAACGCGUAUGCAACUUACCUAUCAGAGGGGGAUAGCCCGGCGAAAGUCGGAUUAAUACCCCAUAAAACAGGGGUCCCGCAUGGGAAUAUUUGUUAAAGAUUCAUCGCUGAUAGAUAGGCAUGCGUUCCAUUAGGCAGUUGGCGGGGUAACGGCCCACCAAACCGACGAUGGAUAGGGGUUCUGAGAGGAAGGUCCCCCACAUUGGUACUGAGACACGGACCAAACUCCUACGGGGGGCAGCAGUGAGGAAUAUUGGUCAAUGGCCGAGAGGCUGAGCCAGCCAAGUCGCGUGAAGGAAGAAGGAUCUAUGGUUUGUAAACUUCUUUUAUAGGGGAAUAAAGUGGAGGA